RNAcentral lists this ribosomal RNA (1293 nucleotides) under uncultured Bacteroidota bacterium. RNAcentral's name for it is "bacterial SSU rRNA". It matches the Rfam family "Bacterial small subunit ribosomal RNA", at positions 80 to 1380 of the family's 1533-position model. The record is from RNAcentral. Lineage: Bacteria; Pseudomonadati; Bacteroidota.
CUUGCUAUCCAGAGAGCGGCGUACGGGUGCGUAACACGUGUGCAACCUGCCUUUAUCUGGGGGAUAGCCUUUCGAAAGGAAGAUUAAUACCCCAUAAUAUGGUGUCCGGCAUCGGUCGCCAUUGAAAGCCUCGGCGGAUAGAGAUGGGCACGCGCAAGAUUAGAUAGUUGGCGGGGUAACGGCCCACCAAGUCGAUGAUCUUUAGGGGUCCUGAGAGGGAGAUCCCCCACACUGGUACUGAGACACGGACCAGACUCCUACGGGAGGCAGCAGUGAGGAAUAUUGGACAAUGGGUGGAAGCCUGAUCCAGCCAUCCCGCGUGAAGGAUGACGGUCCUAUGGAUUGUAAACUUCUUUUGUACAGGGAUAAACCUGCCCUCGUGAGGGCAGCUGAAGGUACUGUACGAAUAAGCACCGGCUAACUCCGUGCCAGCAGCCGCGGUAAUACGGAGGGUGCGAGCGUUACCCGGAUUUAUUGGGUUUAAAGGGUCCGUAGGCGGGCCUGUAAGUCAGUGGUGAAAUCUCAUAGCUUAACUAUGAAACUGCCAUUGAUACUGCAGGCCUUGAGUAAAUUUGAAGUGGCUGGAAUAAGUAGUGUAGCGGUGAAAUGCAUAGAUAUUACUUAGAACACCGAUUGCGAAGGCAGGUCACUAAGAUUUAACUGACGCUGAUGGACGAAAGCGUGGGGAGCGAACAGGAUUAGAUACCCUGGUAGUCCACGCCGUAAACGAUGCUAACUCGUUUUUGGAUCUUCGGGUUCAGAGACCAAGCGAAAGUGAUAAGUUAGCCACCUGGGGAGUACGUCCGCAAGGAUGAAACUCAAAGGAAUUGACGGGGGCCCGCACAAGCGGUGGAUUAUGUGGUUUAAUUCGAUGAUACGCGAGGAACCUUACCAAGACUUAAAUGGGAAUUGACAGAUUUAGAAAUAGAUCCUCCUUCGGGCAAUUUUCAAGGUGCUGCAUGGUUGUCGUCAGCUCGUGCCGUGAGGUGUUAGGUUAAGUCCUGCAACGAGCGCAACCCCUGCCAACAGUUGCCAUCAUUCAGUUGGGGACUCUGUUGGGACUGCCUACGCAAGUAGAGAGGAAGGUGGGGAUGACGUCAAAUCAUCACGGCCCUUACGUCUUGGGCCACACACGUAAUACAAUGGCCGGUACAGAGGGCAGCUACCUGGUGACAGGAUGCGAAUCUCGAAAGCCGGUCUCAGUUCGGAUUGGAGUCUGCAACUCGACUCUAUGAAGCUGGAAUCGCUAGUAAUCGCGCAUCAGCCAUGGCGCGGUGAAUACGUUCCCGGGCC